UUCUGCGGCGGCGCGACGCCCGCUCCCGACCGCCGCCGCCGGCGGCCGGGAGAAUGCUGGGCCCCUGGCCACCGGUUUCCUCUUCCUCGUCGUUCGUUGUCUUCUUCUCCGGUGCACCUUCCCAUGUGAUUCUUCUGGAUGUGCCUCAUUGAAGCAUCUAUAGCAAUACACCUUCCCUAUCACCUUAAUAAUAGGAGGAGCAUACAUUGGUGUUAGGGAAACAGAAGGUGGUGACAAGCUGGUAGCUCCCGCCCUGAGCAUUGCGGAAGUCGCAAUAAGCAUGGCCAAGACCAGCCAUGGGAUACCCUUUGGCUGUCCUCUCAUGCUUGUUUUCAUUGUUUGAAAAAUGCCAGUGUUUUCUCAAGUGUGAGGACAGGAGAAGAGGACUGAAUGGUUAUGGCUCUGGUAUGGAGGGAUAUAUAUAGUGUUCAAGAUGCCAAGGUUUGAGAGAGCAGGUAG
Molecule: long non-coding RNA, 459 nt
Organism: Oryza brachyantha (malo sina)
Lineage: Eukaryota; Viridiplantae; Streptophyta; Magnoliopsida; Poales; Poaceae
Exons: 2
Source: RefSeq, a predicted model, not a curated record